Molecule: long non-coding RNA, 415 nt
Organism: Ailuropoda melanoleuca (giant panda)
Lineage: Eukaryota; Metazoa; Chordata; Mammalia; Carnivora; Ursidae
Exons: 3
Source: RefSeq, a predicted model, not a curated record
AAAUCAACUGUCAGAAGAUUCCUGAGUCUCCCAGGAAGGGGCCUGCCUCAGUGUCCCUGACAUGUUCCAUCACUGGCCUCUGCCCGAGGCCGAGGUGUGUUCAGAGCAUCCAGCUGAAGCCCGCAACCAGUCACCUCGGCAGAGAACUACUGGAAUUCUCCAGCCCCUCCCAGCCCCACACCAACCUCCAAAGCUGUUAUUGCACUGCUGAUACACCUUCCAAUCAGCACAUCCUGGCAUUGAAGAAAUACGUUUGGAACACUUUGCAAAUUAUGUACCGGACAUGUUCACUGGCGUACUAAAGAUUCUGUGAGAGAAGUUGGUUUCUUCUGCUUGCAUCCAAGUCCCAGCUGAGCCACAGGCAAUCUCAGUGUAUCAAAGGAGUAAACGUGCAGCUGCUCUGGUUGAAGAUGAG